GUCCAUAAGAGGUGAUUUGAAAAGGAUGGAGGGUACAGAGAUGUGUAAAUCUACACAGAAAUAUGUGAAGGUGCUCUAAGUCUAUCUUUUCAAGGCAUCUGAAGUUGAGAAAAGCAUCAAACUUGUCAAAUUAGGUGGUAGAUUUGUAGGAUGUGGUCACCUGUGGGCUGAGAGAUGUACUAUGUGAUUUGACACAGACAGUUGCUCUGCCAAUCAAACAGCAAUAGCUGUCAUUCCCUAAUGACUUCCUGGUUUAAAUUUUCAUUGCAGUUGAUUUUGCAGGAUGGCAAAAUGGAACUUUUUUCUGACUGAAUAUUCAAUCACUCUUGAUUUUGUUUUCACAGGUGUUUCUUUUACCACACUCUGUAACAUCAGUAAAAUGAAGAGGAAAAAGAUGAUGUCUGGAGCCAGCAUUGUUUGUUGGCACCCCACGAAGCACCUGAAACUGUUCUUCCCAACACUGGGCGGUCAAGCAGAGAGCAUCACGUGUAACAAAAUUGGCAGGAUGGUGAGGACUGACAUAUUGUUUUGGAAAGGCAUGAAAAUGUGUGGGUAUGAUAGAGGCAUAUGUGAGAGAAAGAAAUGGGACGUGGUAAGUAAAUCAAGCACUGAUACUUUCCAUUCCUCCUAAGAAAAAGAAGAAACACAUUUUAACCUUUAGUUUAGAUCAUAGAAUUAGGAGAAAUGAAGUAGGUGUUUGUAAGGAAGAUGAGAGCAUUUACAAUUAUAACAUAUCAAGUGCAAG
This 745-nucleotide long non-coding RNA is filed under the name Anas platyrhynchos platyrhynchos (common mallard). RNAcentral describes it as "lncRNA (ENSAPLG00000024546.1)". Lineage: Eukaryota; Metazoa; Chordata; Aves; Anseriformes; Anatidae. The record is from RNAcentral.